Molecule: ribosomal RNA, 510 nt
Filed under: Triticum aestivum (bread wheat)
Lineage: Eukaryota; Viridiplantae; Streptophyta; Magnoliopsida; Poales; Poaceae
Description: partial small subunit ribosomal RNA
Source: RNAcentral
AUGCAUAUUCGGCCGACUUCCUCUCGGGUCCUUUCGGCCUUCUCUGAUGCAGAUUGGGCUGGUAGCCCAGAUGACAGGCGAUCCACGGGGGGUUAUGCAGUAUUCUUUGGCUCUAAUUUGAUCGCCUGGAGUGCUCAGAAACAGGCUACUGUGUCACGUAGCAGUACUGAAGCUGAGUACAAGGCUGUGGCUAAUGCUACUGCAGAGAUUAUUUGGGUGCAGUCUUUGCUUCAGGAGUUGGGUUUGUCUCAACCACAGCCUCCUAUUCUUUGGUGUGAUAACAUCGGUGCUACAUACCUUUCUGCAAAUCCAGUAUUUCAUGCCCGAAUGAAACACAUUGAAGUUGACUAUCACUUUGUACGGGAACGUGUAUCACAGAAGCAACUCCAGAUCAAGUUUAUCUCAUCUAAGAAUCAACUUGCAGACAUCUUCACUAAGCCUUUACCGCUGCCACAGUUUGAGGCUUGUAGGCGCAAUCUUACCCUUCUCAGUUCUUUAGAAAGUGGCUAA